GACGAACGCUGGCGGCGUGCUUAACACAUGCAAGUCGAGCGGAAAGGCCCUGCUUUUGUGGGGUGCUCGAGUGGCGAACGGGUGAGUAACACGUGAGUAACCUGCCCUUGACUUUGGGAUAACUUCAGGAAACUGGGGCUAAUACCGGAUAGGAGCUCCUGCUGCAUGGUGGGGGUUGGAAAGUUUCGGCGGUUGGGGAUGGACUCGCGGCUUAUCAGCUUGUUGGUGGGGAAGUGGCUUACCAAGGCUUUGACGGGUAGCCGGCCUGAGAGGGUGACCGGCCACAUUGGGACUGAGAUACGGCCCAGACUCCUACGGGAGGCAGCAGUGGGGAAUAUUGCACAAUGGGCGGAAGCCUGAUGCAGCAACGCCGCGUGCGGGAUGACGGCCUUCGGGUUGUAAACCGCUUUCGCCUGUGACGAAGCGUGAGUGACGGUAAUGGGUAAAGAAGCACCGGCUAACUACGUG
RNAcentral lists this ribosomal RNA (468 nucleotides) under uncultured bacterium. Its description in RNAcentral is "partial 16S ribosomal RNA". It matches the Rfam family "Bacterial small subunit ribosomal RNA", at positions 28 to 507 of the family's 1533-position model. The record is from RNAcentral.